RNAcentral lists this ribosomal RNA (601 nucleotides) under Debaryomyces hansenii. Its description in RNAcentral is "partial large subunit ribosomal RNA". It matches the Rfam family "Eukaryotic large subunit ribosomal RNA", at positions 67 to 664 of the family's 3401-position model. The record is from RNAcentral. Lineage: Eukaryota; Fungi; Ascomycota; Pichiomycetes; Serinales; Debaryomycetaceae.
AAGGCCAUUUGCUUUAGUACGGCGAGUGAAGCGGCAAAAGCUCAAAUUUGAAAUCUGGCACCUUCGGUGUCCGAGUUGUAAUUUGAAGAAGGUAACUUUGGAGUUGGCUCUUGUCUAUGUUCCUUGGAACAGGACGUCACAGAGGGUGAGAAUCCCGUGCGAUGAGAUGCCCAAUUCUAUGUAAAGUGCUUUCGAAGAGUCGAGUUGUUUGGGAAUGCAGCUCUAAGUGGGUGGUAAAUUCCAUCUAAAGCUAAAUAUUGGCGAGAGACCGAUAGCGAACAAGUACAGUGAUGGAAAGAUGAAAAGAACUUUGAAAAGAGAGUGAAAAAGUACGUGAAAUUGUUGAAAGGGAAGGGCUUGAGAUCAGACUUGGUAUUUUGCGAUCCUUUCCUUCUUGGUUGGGUUCCUCGCAGCUUACUGGGCCAGCAUCGGUUUGGAUGGUAGGAUAAUGACUAAGGAAUGUGGCUCUACUUCGGUGGAGUGUUAUAGCCUUGGUUGAUACUGCCUGUCUAGACCGAGGACUGCGUCUUUUGACUAGGAUGUUGGCAUAAUGAUCUUAAGCCACCCGUCUUGAAACACGGACAACCCUCCCCCCCCCCCA